UAGGUCUCGAGCGUUGUCCGGAUUUAUUGGGCGUAAAGCGAGCGCAGGCGGUUCUAUAAGUCUGAAGUAAAAGGCAGUGGCUCAACCAUUGUAUGCUUUGGAAACUGUAGAACUUGAGUGCAGAAGGGGAGAGUGGAAUUCCAUGUGUAGCGGUGAAAUGCGUAGAUAUAUGGAGGAACACCGGUGGCGAACGCGGCUCUCUGGUCUGU
This 209-nucleotide ribosomal RNA is filed under the name uncultured Streptococcus sp. Its description in RNAcentral is "partial 16S ribosomal RNA". It matches the Rfam family "Bacterial small subunit ribosomal RNA", at positions 528 to 737 of the family's 1533-position model. The record is from RNAcentral. Lineage: Bacteria; Bacillati; Bacillota; Bacilli; Lactobacillales; Streptococcaceae.